GGAUGCAGUUUUGGGUGUGCUACCUUUGAAUUUCAGAACUUCAAAGAAAUGCAUCCCUGCUUUUAAAUGUGUUGCAAACCUUCCCCCCUACUGUUGUGAGCAGAGAACAAGAAUUGCUCAUAGGAAGAAAAGAAAUGGGAACUGGAUGAGAGAGGACCAGUUGAGAGGCGAGGAACGGGGAAAGAACGAUGCUCCAAGCAUAAAAUCCAAGCUGCUGACCUUGAAGGCUGAAGAUCUCAAAUUUUUAAGCAAGUCCAGAAAUGCAUUCUUAGACUGCAAGGGCAGUCUAAGUCUAAGAACUUCCUGGCAGAAGGCAUGA
RNAcentral lists this long non-coding RNA (319 nucleotides) under Calidris pygmaea (Spoon-billed sandpiper). RNAcentral describes it as "lncRNA (ENSCPGG00000001783.1)". The record is from RNAcentral. Lineage: Eukaryota; Metazoa; Chordata; Aves; Charadriiformes; Scolopacidae.